CAAAAGUGCCAUAGAGUGAAAGUUCCAUUGAGAAGAGGGCGAAAGGAGGGUGGUUUUGAAAAAGGCUUCCUUGAGUAGCUUUUUCUGCACAGCUCAUCAUUUCUGCCCAUUCUAAACACAUUCCAACCAUUAAAAUCAUGCCAGGACACCUCAUUUUUGUGACCCUAACCCUACC
This is a long non-coding RNA of Varanus komodoensis (Komodo dragon), 175 nucleotides long. RefSeq lists it as uncharacterized. The record is from RefSeq and is a predicted model, not a curated record. NCBI's taxonomy places the organism in Eukaryota, Metazoa, Chordata, Lepidosauria, Squamata, Varanidae. The transcript has 3 exons.